AUUGAACGCUGGCGGCAGGCCUAACACAUGCAAGUCGAGCGGAUGAGGGGAGCUUGCUCCCUGAUUUAGCGGCGGACGGGCGAGUAAUGCCUAGGAAUAUGCCUGGUAGUGGGGGAUAACGUUCCGAAAGGAACGCUAAUACCCCAUACGUCCUUCGGGAGAAAGCAUGGGACCUUCGGGCCUUGCGCUAUCACAUGAGUCUAGGUCGGAUUAGCUAGUUGGCGAGGUAAUGGCUCACCAAGGCGACGAUCCGUAACUGGUCUGAGAGGAUGAUCAGUCACACUGGAACUGAGACACGGUCCAGACUCCUACGGGAGGCAGCAGUGGGGAAUAUUGGACAAUGGGCGAAAGCCUGAUCCAGCCAUGCCGCGUGUGUGGAGAAGGUCUUCGGAUUGUAAAGCACUUUAGGUUGGGAGGAAAGGCUGCUGGUUAAUACCCUGCAGUCUUGACGUUACCAACAGAAUAAGCACCGGCUAACUUCGUG
This 484-nucleotide ribosomal RNA is filed under the name uncultured bacterium. RNAcentral's name for it is "partial 16S ribosomal RNA". It matches the Rfam family "Bacterial small subunit ribosomal RNA", at positions 30 to 507 of the family's 1533-position model. The record is from RNAcentral.